UCAAACAUUGUACAUCUUUAUUAAGCAAAAACACUAUAAAUAAAAAAAAAGUGCAUAGAAAAAUUGAACAGGUUUAGAAAUAUGUAUACAACUAUUUACAAACUUAGGGGUCAUUUGUACAAGGUAGCAAAGACACAUGUUUUUUCAUUUGAAGUCUUUUUCAACACGUUGUUUUUUUUAAAUAGCCUACACAGGAACAGACAGAAUUUCUUUUCCCAGGAAGCUCUGGGAGACGCAUUAUCACAGGAGGUCCUGACUAGUGCUUUGCAUCCUUCAUUGCACACGAGCCAACUCUGCAUGACAGAACAGACCAAGCAAAUCUAGUUUUGCAUUAGUAUUACUUGAUGUCGUCUGAACAGCUUGAGGUAGAAUCCUUGCAAGUCUGGGGUGGUUUGAUUAAAAUCUGAGAUCCGCUAAAUUUCAGGUUCUGGAUGGAGAUUCUCCCUCCACACAAACACACAGAGUAAGGAAAAAGUGGGAGACGCCAACGUGAUUUAGUGGGAGGAAACUUCUCCUUUGAGAAAGUCAAAUAAAAUCAGACAACUAAGACAUUUAAAACAAACAGCCGGCUCAACACAUCACCUCUUAAAAAGGCCACGUUGCAAGAACUCAUCCUCAGUGUUCAAGUUAAAGAAAACGGGGGAAAACGGUUUAAAAGAACGAAGAAGAAAAAAAAACCCUGAAGAAAACUCUGAUAAGACCUUGGUCACAUACAAAAACGCACAGACCUAUGGGUAAAAACUCCCAUAAAGACAAACAGGAAUAAAAAGAACGCUCUUACAGUCCGUACGAUCUUAGAUGAACGAUGGCAUCAGCUUGUUGAUUAUUUUCCUGCAUGAAGAAGAGAACCAACUCCCAAAUCUUUCAAGGAAAAUUAAGGUGCCGAGUACCAACGUCUACUGAAAAACUGUUUCAAUAACUCUUCUAUAAAUAUAUAUAUAGAUCUUGUAUACAUCGUCUUCACGGUCCUAUGUCUUCUAGGACACUUUAAGCAGUUUCUAACUCCCUAGAUAAAUGUAGAGCUCCAAUUGUAUGUGCAAUUGUGGCAGAAAAUGAUUUAUUGCAGGAACAAUCCACAACGAGGAUGCAUUUAGUCACGAUUAGCUUAAGUAGUGUCCCUCUACUACAUGACGAAUAGAAACUCAAAUAUCCACUGUCCAGGCAUGAUUUUGUUUUCGACAAGAGGCUCCCAAGAGGUA
This is a long non-coding RNA of Sinocyclocheilus anshuiensis, 1199 nucleotides long. RefSeq lists it as uncharacterized. The record is from RefSeq and is a predicted model, not a curated record. Lineage: Eukaryota; Metazoa; Chordata; Actinopteri; Cypriniformes; Cyprinidae. The transcript is spliced from 3 exons.